This 1404-nucleotide small RNA is filed under the name Pan troglodytes (chimpanzee). RNAcentral's name for it is "processed transcript". Lineage: Eukaryota; Metazoa; Chordata; Mammalia; Primates; Hominidae. The record is from RNAcentral.
GCCAGCGCUCCAGUGGGCGGGGGUGCGGCAGGUGACUCCAGACCAAGGAGGAUGAGCUGCUGUCCCUGGAAGAGAACGAAUGGAGGAAAGCAGCUCCUACGAAGUUCCCUCUGUGGCUGCUGCUGAUCUGGAGGAGGGUGCUGGUCAGACUAGGAGCUUGCCUGCCACCCCCUCCAAAGAUGUUCACAAGGGUGUUGGAGGCAUCAUCUUUUCCUCCUCACCGAUUUUAGACUUGAGUGAAAGUGGUCUGUGCCGUUUGGAGGAGGUCUUUAGAAUCCCCAGCCUUCAACAAUUGCAUCUGCAAAGGAAUGCCCUGUGUGUGAUUCCUCAAGAUUUCUUUCAGUUGCUUCCGAACCUGACUUGGCUGGACCUCCGGUGCAAUAGAAUUAAAGCGCUUCCUUCUGGGAUUGGAGCUCACAAGGAGCGUAACCACGCUGAAAGCACUGAACCUAAGACACUGCCCUCUGGAAUUCCCUCCUCAGCUCGUUGUGCAGAAGGGAUUGGUGGCUAUCCAGCGCUUCCUGCGGGUGUGGGCAGUAGAACACUCUUUCCCCAGAAAUCCAACUUCUCAAGAGGCUCCACCGGUUAGAGAGAUGACCCUCUGUGACCUCUCGAGCCCAGGACUGGAGUUGUCUGGAGACCACGCGUCUAACCAAGGAGCUGUGAAUGCUCAGGACCCAGAGGGGGCUGUGAUGAAAGAGAAGGCCGGCUUUCUCCCGCCUGUGGAAAAGCCAGACCUGAGUGAACUCAGGAAGUCUGCCGACUCCUCAGAGAACUGGCCCAGCGAGGAGGAGAUCAGGCGCUUUUGGAAGCUGAGGCAGGAGAUUGUUGAGCACGUGAAGGCAGACGUUCUGGGAGAUCAGCUCUUGACGAGGGAAUUACCUCCAAAUCUCAAGGCGACCUUGAACAUUGAGAAAGAACUACCAAAGCCAAGACACGUUUUCAGGACAAGGGUCCCUAGGAAACAGGCUCUGCAGAGGCUACAUGAGAGAAAAACUCGAAUCAUGGGUGUGGUAGGGCGUGCGCCUACACAUAUGGGAGAAGGAAGACAGCCUCCUCCAGGAGCAUCUUACCCGACCUCUUGUCGCCGUACCAAAUCGCGAUCCGAGCAAAAAGACUGGAAGAGAGCCGAGCGGCAGCGCUCCGAGAGCUCCAGGAGAAGCAGGCUCUGAUGGAGCAGCAGAGACGAGAGAAAAGGGCACUGCAGGAGUGGAGAGAGCGAGCCCAGAGGAUGAGGAAGAGGAAGGAAGAGCUCAGCAAACUCCUGCCUCUGCGGAGGAGCAUGGUGGCAUCAAAGACUCCCUCUGCCACAGAUCUGAUAGAUAACGGGAAAGUACCACUGAAUCCAGCUGGAAAAAUGAAACCAAGCAAAGAGAAAUCACCACAAGCAAGUAAAGAAACGCG